GCAUUGGUGGUUUAAUGGUAGAAUUCUUGGCUCCCAUGUGAGAGACCUGGUUUGAUUCCCAGCCAGUGCC
Molecule: transfer RNA, 70 nt
Filed under: Loxodonta africana (African savanna elephant)
Lineage: Eukaryota; Metazoa; Chordata; Mammalia; Proboscidea; Elephantidae
Rfam family: tRNA
About the family: Transfer RNA (tRNA) molecules are approximately 80 nucleotides in length.
Source: Rfam by way of RNAcentral